This 439-nucleotide ribosomal RNA is filed under the name uncultured Planctomycetota bacterium. RNAcentral describes it as "bacterial SSU rRNA". It matches the Rfam family "Bacterial small subunit ribosomal RNA", at positions 329 to 763 of the family's 1533-position model. Lineage: Bacteria; Pseudomonadati; Planctomycetota. The record is from RNAcentral.
UGCACCACACCUACGGGUGGCAGCCGUCGAGGAUCUUCGGCAAUGGGCGCAAGCCUGACCGAGCGACGCCGCGUGCGGGAUGAAGGCCUUCGGGUUGUAAACCGCUGUCAGUGGGGAGGAAAUUGGCGAGGGUUCUCCCUCGUUAUUGACCUAUCCGCAGAGGAAGGGUGGGCUAAGCUCGUGCCAGCAGCCGCGGUAAGACGAGCCACCCAAACGUUAUUCGGAAUUACUGGGCUUAAAGGGUGCGUAGGCGGUGCAGCAAGGCGGGAGUGAAAUACCUCAGCUUAACUGAGGAACUGCUUUCGAUACUGCUGUGCUCGAGUGAGACAGAGGUAAGCGGAACUUAGGGUGGAGCGGUGAAAUGCGUUGAUAUCCUAAGGAACACCGGUGGCGAAGGCGGCUUACUGGGUCUCUACUGACGCUGAGGCACGAAAGCCAA